GAAGGGCAUCAAGGGACGACUGA
This 23-nucleotide non-coding RNA is filed under the name Cricetulus griseus (Chinese hamster). The record is from RNAcentral. Lineage: Eukaryota; Metazoa; Chordata; Mammalia; Rodentia; Cricetidae.